Molecule: ribosomal RNA, 253 nt
Filed under: uncultured bacterium
Lineage: Bacteria
Description: partial 16S ribosomal RNA
Rfam family: Bacterial small subunit ribosomal RNA
Source: RNAcentral
GACGAACCGUGCGAACGUUGUUCGGAUUCACUGGGCUUAAAGGGCGCGUAGGCGGGUCAGCAAGUCCGGGGUGAAAGCUUUCGGCUUAACCGGAAAAGUGCCUUGGAUACUGCUGGUCUAGAGGGAGGUAGGAGCAGGUGGAACUUCCGGUGGAGCGGUGAAAUGCGUUGAUAUCGGAAGGAACGCCGGUGGCGAAAGCGACCUGCUGGACCUCUUCUGACGCUGAUGCGCGAAAGCUAGGGGAGCAAACGGG